Molecule: ribosomal RNA, 425 nt
Filed under: uncultured bacterium
Lineage: Bacteria
Description: bacterial SSU rRNA
Rfam family: Bacterial small subunit ribosomal RNA
Source: RNAcentral
GGGGAAUUUUGGACAAUGGGCGCAAGCCUGAUCCAGCCAUGCCGCGUGCGGGAAGAAGGCCUUCGGGUUGUAAACCGCUUUUGUCAGGGAAGAAAAGCUCUGGGCUAAUACCCCGGGGUCAUGACGGUACCUGAAGAAUAAGCACCGGCUAACUACGUGCCAGCAGCCGCGAUAAUACGUAGGGUGCAAGCGUUAAUCGGAAUUACUGGGCGUAAAGCGUGCGCAGGCGGUGAUGCAAGACAGAUGUGAAAUCCCCGGGCUCAACCUGGGAACUGCAUUUGUGACUGCAUCGCUGGAGUGCGGCAGAGGGGGAUGGAAUUCCGCGUGUAGCAGUGAAAUGCGUAGAUAUGCGGAGGAACACCGAUGGCGAAGGCAAUCCCCUGGGCCUGCACUGACGCUCAUGCACGAAAGCGUGGGGAGCAAAC